AGAGUUGAUCCUGCUCAGGAUGACCGCUGGCGCACGCUAACACAUGCAGUCGAACGAGUCCAUUGAGCUUGCUCCGGAAGAUCUAGUGGCGAACGGGUGCGUAACACGUGAGAAACCUGCCCUGAACUUCGGAAUAACAGUUGGAAACGACUGCUAAUGCCGAAUACCACCGUCACCCCGCAUGGGGAGACGUUAAAAGGUCAGCCGGUUCAGGAGGGUCUCACGGCCUAUCAGCUUGUUGGAGAAGUAACGGCUCACCAAGGCAUCGACGGGUAGCUGGUCUGAGAGGAUGAUCAGCCACACUGGAACUGAGACACGGUCCAGACUCCUACGGGAGGCAGCAGUGGGGAAUCUUGCACAAUGGGCGAAAGCCUGAUGCAGCGAUGCCGCGUGCGGGAAGAAGGCCCUAGGGUUGUAAACCGCUUUCAGGAGGGAAGAAAAUGACGGUACCUCAGAAGAAGGUGCGGCCAACUACGUGCCAGCAGCCGCGGUAACACGUAGGCACCAAGCGUUAUCCGGAUUUAUUGGGCGUAAAGAGCUCGUAGGCGGUUCAGUCAGUCGGGUGUGAAAACUUGAGGCUUAACCUCAAGAGGUCACUCGAUACUGCUGUGACUAGAGUGCGGUAGGGGAGCGGGGAAUUCCUGGUGUAGCGGUGAAAUGCGCAGAUAUCAGGAGGAACACCAGUGGCGAAGGCGCCGCUCUGGGCCGUAACUGACGCUGAGGAGCGAAAGCAUGGGUAGCAAACAGGAUUAGAUACCCUGGUAGUC
RNAcentral lists this ribosomal RNA (767 nucleotides) under uncultured bacterium. RNAcentral describes it as "bacterial SSU rRNA". It matches the Rfam family "Bacterial small subunit ribosomal RNA", at positions 8 to 795 of the family's 1533-position model. The record is from RNAcentral.